RNAcentral lists this long non-coding RNA (2217 nucleotides) under Oryzias sinensis (Chinese medaka). Its description in RNAcentral is "lncRNA (ENSOSIG00000015122.1)". The record is from RNAcentral. Lineage: Eukaryota; Metazoa; Chordata; Actinopteri; Beloniformes; Adrianichthyidae.
ACACCCCAAACUAAGUAAUGCAACAGCCUGGCUUUCCACCAUGCCUGUUGCUGCACAUCAUCAAGCUCGCAGAGUGCAUAUGGACGCAUCUACAGUUCUUGAAAAGCUUGGUUCACUGGUUUCACAGCCUCCAGACAAUAAUCUGUUUGGAGGAGCCUGUGCGUCCACGUCUCAACAAUAUGUUAGGCAGAUAGUUGGGCCUUUGCACCAAUUGGAAGUGUCAAAGCAAAGCUCUCGUCAGAGCGUCUACUUCCAAGCUGUGCAAGAACCUGAGGAGCAGCAACCCUGCCGCCAACGCGCUGGCCGCGGUGCGCAACAUUUGGAGCCUAUAAUUUGGAAAGACUCCUCGGCAUCAAUCGGCGCCUCGCUCCUGUCAAAGCUGGAGGCUGCAGACAGGCGACGACGUGGAGGCGCGCGCGCGCGGACGCUGACGGUCCUCUCUGGAAAUCCGCGCUCGGUGGUUCAGACGAGGCCAAAGACGGGAGGCUUCUCCCAGCCCUGGUCCGAUCAGGGGGUCCGUAAGUGCAUGGAGAGCCCGGCCACAAAGGCUAGCAGGCUGAACUAAGCAUCGAGCUAGUAGCAGCUGAUUUGCAGCGACGAUGGAGGACUGGAGUCUGGAACCAUGCACCUCCUGCUCUUUUGUUCUCCCUGCGUCCUGGUGAGGAAGACACAGGAGGGACUGGAGAUCAAAUGCUCUUCUCCUCUGCCUCUCCACCUCUGCGUCUGCUGGCUGCAGAUUCAGCCUCGAGUCUGGAUCCCAGUCAGUCAGAGUGACGUCGCAGCAUCAUCGGCUCAGCUGGCCCUCCUCCUCCUGCCUCCCCCGGCCCCCCGACACCCCUCCAUUCACUUCAAAUCACACCCCCGCGUGAACGUGGCUGUAGAUUCCCUCCAAAUUCUGCCAGUUAUUUACUGCUCCUUUCAUAGCCCGGUGUUAAAUGUUGACAUUCUUCUUAAGGAUCCAUUGGGCAGGGGCGUCCACAAUAUUUUAACUUCUCUAUAUUUUUUGCUGGGGGGGGGGCAAGGGGGAACCCUGAAGUGCAAAUCACACCAAGUCACACUAAAAACUUAUUAUAGAACAUAACAACAAUUAAAAAGCAAAGCAAAUAAUAAAAAAAAAAACAUUAAAACAAAUGAUGAGCCAACUUCAUCAUCCAAUCAGCGAUGUCCCACAGUACCUACCAUCCCGGUUUCCAUAAAAACAGAAUGAAAAAUAUUUUGGAAAACAAAAGCAAAAUGAAAUGUUAAAAAAUGAAAUACAAUAAGAAAUCAGAAAAUUGUACCCUAUUAUCUCACUGAGGCAAAUAUUAAGUGUAAUGUCAGCAAUAACAAUUUUAAAAAUAAAAACAGCUCAUUUUGCCUUUUGUGGUGUGUCUCAACACAAAAUGCAUGAAUCUAACAAACUAAAAUUAAAUCAGAGCUAAUGAAGCAGCCUCCAACAUAAAAAUUCCACUUGAUAAUAUGGUGCGCCUUAAGUAUGAUUUCUUGUUGUGCUAACCAACUUCCAACUGAUUUUCUGUGCCACAGGAGCUCAGAAAUCAGUUUUAGUUAGUUUUAGCACGCCUUUGGUAAACUACGAAAUGAUGAUGGAUUUUUAGAGAAUUACAGCUAACAUAGUCAAGAACUGUACUGUCCUACUGUAUGGGAAUUAGUUGAAUAAAGUUUGAGUUUGUUUACUAGUUUAAUACUUGCUUACUUUUUAAAACGACUAAUCUUUUUUUCUCUUUAACCAAUGAUCCACAUUGAAGGGGUAAAUAGCAGCAUGUGGCUCCAGAGCCUAAGGUUGCAGGACCCCUGCCAUAGACCAAAGAGAGGAAGUGACCCUGAAGGAGUAAACAAUGAAAGAGAAGAAAAGAAAAAUCCACCAACCGCAAGAAUCUGAACAAGAGUUCAUCCUAAUAAAGUUUGAACAUAUGUUGGGUAAAGAUGGGGUAAUGAGGUGGAGGAACUUGUGAGAUUUCUUCUUCAUGCUGUUUUAUCAACUGAGUACUUUCCCUUCCCCCUAGGGAGCAGCCGUAGGAACUGCAGGAUGUUUCUCAAGUUGUUUUCUUUGAAUCUUGCUUCGUCUCAGAAACCAUUGUGUGUUAAAGCAAACCAAACCUGGUAAAGAUGUGAACAUUAUUGACGUUCCUGCCCAUUUGAACUGAAUGAGGCUAUUCUUAUGGUUGAAUUUGUUCACGUUUUAUAUGCGUCUCUAAAAGCUGAUCACAUCGCAUGUGC